This 496-nucleotide ribosomal RNA is filed under the name uncultured bacterium. RNAcentral's name for it is "partial 16S ribosomal RNA". It matches the Rfam family "Bacterial small subunit ribosomal RNA", at positions 28 to 507 of the family's 1533-position model. The record is from RNAcentral.
GAUGAACGCUGGCGGCGUGCCUAAUACAUGCAAGUCGAGCGAACGGACGAGAAGCUUGCUUCUCUGAUGUUAGCGGCGGACGGGUGAGUAACACGUGGAUAACCUACCUAUAAGACUGGGAUAACUUCGGGAAACCGGAGCUAAUACCGGAUAAUAUUUUGAACCGCAUGGUUCAAAAGUGAAAGACGGUCUUGCUGUCACUUAUAGAUGGAUCCGCGCUGCAUUAGCUAGUUGGUAAGGUAACGGCUUACCAAGGCAACGAUGCAUAGCCGACCUGAGAGGGUGAUCGGCCACACUGGAACUGAGACACGGUCCAGACUCCUACGGGAGGCAGCAGUAGGGAAUCUUCCGCAAUGGGCGAAAGCCUGACGGAGCAACGCCGCGUGAGUGAUGAGGUCUUCGGAUCGUAAAACUCUGUUAUUAGGGAAGAACAUAUGUGUAAGUAACUGUGCACAUCUUGACGGUACCUAAUCAGAAAGCCACGGCUAACUACGUG